Molecule: ribosomal RNA, 1349 nt
Filed under: metagenome
Description: bacterial LSU rRNA
Rfam family: Bacterial large subunit ribosomal RNA
Source: RNAcentral
CAGGGCGAAGCUGCCGAUAUCACGCUUCCAGGAAAAGCUCCUAAGCUUCAGCUUACGCAGACCGUACCGUAAACCGACACAGGUGGGCAGGAUGAGAAUUCUCAGGCGCUUGAGAGAACUUAGGUGAAGGAACUAGGCAAAAUAGUACCGUAACUUCGGGAGAAGGUACGCCCUCCAUGGUUAACAGCUGAGGAGGGCCGCAGAAACCAGGCCGCUGCGACUGUUUAUCAAAAACACAGCACUCUGCAAACACGAAAGUGGACGUAUAGGGUGUGACGCCUGCCCGGUGCCGGAAGGUUAAUUGAUGGGGUCAGCCGCAAGGCGAAGCUCUUGAUCGAAGCCCCGGUAAACGGCGGCCGUAACAAUAACGGUCCUAAGGUAGCGAAAUUCCUUGUCGGGUAAGUUCCGACCUGCACGAAUGGCGUAACGACAGCGGCGCUGUCUCCACCUAAGACUCAGUGAAAUUGAAAUCGCUGUGAAGAUGCAGCGUUCCCGCGGCAAGACGGAAAGACCCCGUGAACCUUUACUAUAGCUUUACACUGAACGUUGAGUUCGUCUGUGUAGGAUAGGUGGGAGCCUAUGAAACCGAGGCGCUAGCUUCGGCGGAGGCAACCUUGAAAUACCACCCUGAUGUGCUUGACGUUCUAACUUAGGUCCGUAAUCCGGAUCGAGGACCGUGUAUGGUGGGUAGUUUGACUGGGGCGGUCUCCUCCCAAAGAGUAACGGAGGAGCUCGAAGGUACGCUCAGCGCGGUCGGACAUCGCGCACUGUGUGCAAAGGCAUAAGCGCGCUUGACUGCAAGAUCGACGGAUCAAGCAGGUAGGAAACUAGGACUUAGUGAUCCGGUGGUUCUGUAUGGAAGGGCCAUCGCUCAACGGAUAAAAGGUACUCCGGGGAUAACAGGCUGAUACCGCCCAAGAGUUCAUAUCGACGGCGGUGUUUGGCACCUCGAUGUCGGCUUAUCACAUCCUGGGGCUGUAGUCGGUCCCAAGGGUAUGGCUGUUCGCCAUUUAAAGUGGUACGUGAGCUGGGUUCAGAACGUCGUGAGACAGUUCGGUCCCUAUCUGUCGUGGGCGUUGGAGAUUUGAGAGGGGCUGCUCCUAGUACGAGAGGACCGGAGUGGACGAACCUCUGGUGUUCCGGUUGUCAUGCCAAUGGCACGGCCGGGUAGCUAUGUUCGGAAGCGAUAACCGCUGAAAGCAUCUAAGCGGGAAGCGCGCCUCAAGAUGAGAUCUCCCGGGACACAAGUCCCCUAAAGGAACCAUCAAGACCAGGUGGUUGAUAGGCAGGGUGUGUAAGCGCAGCAAUGCGUUGAGCUAACCUGUACUAAUGAUCCGUGUGGCUUGAUC